AACGCUAGCUACAGGCUUAACACAUGCAAGUCGAGGGGCAGCACAGUGUAGUAAUACAUGGGUGGCGACCGGCGCACGGGUGCGUAACGCGUAUCCAACCUUCCCGUUACUCAGGGAUAGCCUUCCGAAAGGGAGAUUAAUACCUGAUGGUGUUUGAAUUCCGCAUGUUAUUCAAACUAAAGAUUUAUCGGUAACGGAUGGGGAUGCGUGACAUUAGGUAGAUGGCGGGGUAACGGCCCACCAUGCCCACGAUGUCUAGGGGUUCUGAGAGGAAGGUCCCCCACACUGGAACUGAGACACGGUCCAGACUCCUACGGGAGGCAGCAGUGAGGAAUAUUGGUCAAUGGCCGGAAGGCUGAACCAGCCAAGUAGCGUGAAGGAUGAAGGUUCUAUGGAUUGUAAACUUCUUUUAUACGGGAAUAAAACCACCUACGUGUAGGUGCUUGUAUGUACCGUAUGAAUAAGCAUCGGCUAACUCCGUGCCAGCAGCCGCGGUAAUACGGAGGAUGCGAGCGUUAUCCGGAUUUAUUGGGUUUAAAGGGAGCGUAGACGGGAGAUUAAGUCAGUUGUGAAAGGCUGCGGCUCAACCGCAGCACUGCAGUUGAUACUGGUUUCCUUGAGUUCGGUUGAGGUGUAUGGAAUUCGUGGUGUAGCGGUGAAAUGCUUAGAUAUCACGAAGAACUCCGAUUG
RNAcentral lists this ribosomal RNA (690 nucleotides) under uncultured bacterium. Its description in RNAcentral is "bacterial SSU rRNA". It matches the Rfam family "Bacterial small subunit ribosomal RNA", at positions 32 to 715 of the family's 1533-position model. The record is from RNAcentral.